UGUUUUUUGAUUUUGCUUUAAUGAUUUUAAUUAGUAUCCAACAUCAAUUCUUAAUCUGUAUACAACAGUUCUGGAGUGACCUGGAUAACAAUUUGUUUGCUCAUACACCUUAAGUACUCCCCAAAUAGAAUGUAUAAAAGUACUAAUUUAGAUUGGUUUUGUGUAAUCUGUGAAUAAAUAAUAUUUUACAGCAGUUCUCUGGGUAAUGAGAGUCACUCUGUACAGAUAGUAGGUAUGUACUUAAAUAUUUAUACAUUUCCCUCUGAGCUAGUAAGUCAUUGACCCUGAAGCUGGAAUGAGGCUGGUUUGCACCUUGGAAAACUUAAUCGUUCCCAUGGUAACACAGAGACUCUUGCCUACCACUUCUUCCCACAUCUUUGUUAUAUUUAAAGCAAGAAAUUGUUAUUUACUUCAUAUUUGAUAUGUUGAUACAAUUUUCAGGGCACAAAUUCCUAACCUCAGCCAUUCUUGUGUUUUUUUUUUUUUUUUUUGGAGAGAUGGGGGUCUUGUUAUAUUGCACAGGCUGGUCUCGAACUUCCCCGCCUCAAGUGAUUCUCCCAUUUCAGCCUCCCAAAGCUGGGAUUACAGGUGUGAUCCACCAUGCCCAGCCUGCCCUUUAAUUUUUUGGUGACUUCUAAAGCACAGUUUUUAGUUUUUUAAUAUUUAAAAAAUAAAUAUUUUACUUAAUGUUUCACAUAAUAUAAUCCCCCCUCCCAAGACUAUACAAGUUUUUCUUUAUAUUUUCUUCUCGUAAGGCUAUGGUUUCAUUUUUAUAUAAAAUCUUUAAAAUCAUCCAAAUGCAUGAAAGUCACAAUAAAUCACUAGAAAUUUAUUUUAGAACAUGGUGUAUUUUUUCCCUCCAAACAAUUGGCCAAUGACCCUUUCAUUUAUUGUAUAGUUUAUAUUUUCCUCACUGAUUAUAAAUGUAACAUUUUAAAAAAAGAGAUGGGGUAGUAGAGACAGGGUCUUGAAAUGCUGCCUAGGCUGGUCUUAAACUCCUGGCCUCAAGAGAGCCUCCUGCCUCUUUUUUUCCUUUUAAAAUAAGAACUAUCACUGUUUUCUUCUCCUUCCUUUUUUUUUUUUUUCUCUCUAGCAACUAUUGCCACCCUGGCCCCAAAAGUUAUUUAUAGAGUACAUUGGUAGUAAUUAUACUUACAAUUUAGUCCAUGGAGUGCAGGACCAUGAGGAACUAUAGCUAGAUAAGAUUGUGCCAGAAUUAGAAGAAUAGACAUUUUACUUUCAGAGACCAUGACUAAAAGAAUAUUAACACCAAGAUGCUCCUUCCAUCAGCUGGAUGUACCUUUGGGCUUGGAAAGAUGGCAAGUAUAGGAGUUGUACUGGAACGGCUGGAUCAAAUAGGUUGAAGGCAUUUUUGUCAUUGUACAUGUGGGGAAAAGCAACCAAGUAAUAAGACACAACAGAUAUCUCUUAAGGCACCGACACAGCUCACAGUGACACCUCCCUCCCCAGCACAGCGUAAGGGUGGAACAGUAGCAAAAUAUCUAUACACAUAACUUGCAGAUGAAUCAUGCCUGAGUAACAUGGACGUGGAAAUAUGACCCAAAUUGGGCA
Molecule: long non-coding RNA, 1572 nt
Filed under: Homo sapiens (human)
Lineage: Eukaryota; Metazoa; Chordata; Mammalia; Primates; Hominidae
Description: non-protein coding lnc-DR1-1:3
Source: RNAcentral